GUGCUCACUUUGGCAGCACAUAUAGUGAAAUCAGAAUGAUACAGAGAUUAGCAUGGCCCCUGUGUUAGGAUGACACACAAAUUUGUGAAGAGUUCCAUAUUUUU
Molecule: small nuclear RNA, 104 nt
Organism: Lontra canadensis (Northern American river otter)
Lineage: Eukaryota; Metazoa; Chordata; Mammalia; Carnivora; Mustelidae
Source: RefSeq, a predicted model, not a curated record